This 435-nucleotide ribosomal RNA is filed under the name uncultured bacterium. RNAcentral describes it as "partial 16S ribosomal RNA". It matches the Rfam family "Bacterial small subunit ribosomal RNA", at positions 28 to 507 of the family's 1533-position model. The record is from RNAcentral.
GAUGAACGCUGGCGGUAUGCUUAACACAUGCAAGUCGAACGCACUCUUCGGAGUUAGUGGCGGACGGGUGAGUAACGCGUGAGAAUCUGGCUUUGGGUUCGGGACAACCACUGGAAACGGUGGCUAAUACCGGAUGUGCCGAGAGGUAAAAGAGAAAUUGCCUGAAGAUGAGCUCGCGUCUGAUUAGCUAGUUGGUGAGGUAAAGGCUCACCAAGGCAGCGAUCAGUAGCUGGUCUGAGAGGAUGACCAGCCACACUGGGACUGAGACACGGCCCAGACGCCUACGGGAGGAAGCAGUGGGGAAUGUUCCGCAAUGGGCGAAAGCCUGACGGAGCAAUACCGCGUGAGGGAAGAAGGCUCUUGGGUUGUAAACCACUUUGCUUAGGGAAGAACAAAAUGACGGUACCUAAGGAAUCAGCAUCGGCUAACUCCGUG